CUGUUUCCAUUUGGGGGUGAUUUUGAAUAGCUGCAGCUGCUUUCAACAACGAUCCCUGUGGGCUGAGGCUGCAGCAUGUGGAGCUGGGGUCAUCCUUGCCUGGCCGUGGAAAGCGAGAAGAGAAACACCCGCGAUCCUGUGGACCAGGGGAGCCCAAAGAGAAUGGCAGUGACCAGGGAGGACAGAGAGGCCAGCCUGGACCAGGAGAUGCUGGGGGAGCUGGCAGGAAGACCAGGCUCCCCAGCCCCAAUGCAGCCACGCCAGGGAUAAGUGGAGCCCUCCUGGAUGAGCAGGGAAGAGGCAAUCUUCUCAUAACCACCCAGGUGGAGACACCGGCUCCGCUGUCCCCAGGAGGCUCGGGGGCACUGUCCCGGCGUGAACAGUACCAGAUUGAGGGAGGAGAGCAAGCCGAUGGCCAAGCCCAGAGCCGUGGGCUGUCGAAUGACAAGGGACUCAGUUUCAUCUAUAAAAUGGGACCAAUACAGGUGCCUACUUCACAGGACUAUCAUGAGGGGUGAGUUAGUGCAGGUGAAGGCCUGAACGUUGCUUCUGGCACAAGCAACACCCAGCAGAUAACCGCCACGGUGAGAAGAGGCUCCGAUGUGCACACUCCUGCCGGCCCUGCGGUUCUUGUCAGCUCAAGCUCCCCGUAUGCCUUGUAAAAAGCAGUAAUUAAGCUCUCUUGAAAAUUAAGCCAACGUGUCUUCCCUUUCCUCUCCAGUCCAUUUCCAGUGCUUGCAGAUUUUUUUUUAAAGAUUUUAUUUAUUCAUGAGAGACACAGAGAGGCAGAGACACAGGCAGAGGGAGAAGCAGGCUCCAUGCAGGGAACCCGAUGCGGGACUCUAUCCCAGGGUCCUGGGGUCACGCUCUGGGCCAAAGGCAGACGCUCAACCACUGAGCCACCCAGGCAUGCCCAGUGCUUGCAGAUUUUUAAAAUCCUCUCCCUCUGCUCACUUCUGUCCCCAAAAUGCCACAUAUCCUGGGGUG
This 987-nucleotide long non-coding RNA is filed under the name Vulpes vulpes (red fox). Its description in RNAcentral is "lncRNA (ENSVVUG00000002290.1)". Lineage: Eukaryota; Metazoa; Chordata; Mammalia; Carnivora; Canidae. The record is from RNAcentral.